This 404-nucleotide unclassified non-coding RNA is filed under the name uncultured Cortinarius. Its description in RNAcentral is "sequence contains ITS2". The stretch from base 1 to 154 matches the Rfam family "5.8S ribosomal RNA". The record is from RNAcentral. Lineage: Eukaryota; Fungi; Basidiomycota; Agaricomycetes; Agaricales; Cortinariaceae.
AACUUUUGACAACGGAUCACUUGGCUCUCGCAUCGAUGAAUAACGCAGCGAAAUGCGAUAAGUAAUGUGAAUUGCAGAAUUCAGUGAAUCAUCGAAUCUUUGAACGCACCUUGCGCUCCUUGGUAUUCCGAGGAGCAUGCCUGUUUGAGUGUCAUUUUAUAUAUAUCAACCCUCCUUUGUUGAGAGUGGUUUGGAUGUGAGGGUUUGCUGGAUCCCUUAAAAGAAUUCAGCUCCCUUGAAAUGCAUUAGCAGAAUAACCUGUUCAUUGGUGUGAUAACUAUCUACACUAUUGAAUUCAAGGGCCAGUUCAGCUUUCUAACAGUCCUUGGACAAUUUAUCAUUUAUGUGACCUCAAAUCAGGUAGGACUACCCGCUGAACUUAAGCAUAUCAAUAAGCGGAGGCU